Molecule: ribosomal RNA, 761 nt
Filed under: Salmonella enterica subsp. enterica
Lineage: Bacteria; Pseudomonadati; Pseudomonadota; Gammaproteobacteria; Enterobacterales; Enterobacteriaceae
Description: partial 23S ribosomal RNA
Rfam family: Bacterial large subunit ribosomal RNA
Source: RNAcentral
AUUCUGUAGCAAGGUUAACCGUAUAGGGGAGCCGUAGGGAAACCGAGUCUUAACCGGGCGUUAAGUUGCAGGGUAUAGACCCGAAACCCGGUGAUCUAGCCAUGGGCAGGUUGAAGGUUGGGUAACACUAACUGGAGGACCGAACCGACUAAUGUUGAAAAAUUAGCGGAUGACCUGUGGCUGGGGGUGAAAGGCCAAUCAAACCGGGAGAUAGCUGGUUCUCCCCGAAAGCUAUUUAGGUAGCGCCUCGUGAAUUCAUCUCCGGGGGUAGAGCACUGUUUCGGCUAGGGGGCCAUCCCGGCUUACCAACCCGAUGCAAACUGCGAAUACCGGAGAAUGUUAUCACGGGAGACACACGGCGGGUGCUAACGUCCGUCGUGAAGAGGGAAACAACCCAGACCGCCAGCUAAGGUCCCAAAGUCAUGGUUAAGUGGGAAACGAUGUGGGAAGGCCCAGACAGCCAGGAUGUUGGCUUAGAAGCAGCCAUCAUUUAAAGAAAGCGUAAUAGCUCACUGGUCGAGUCGGCCUGCGCGGAAGAUGUAACGGGGCUAAACCAUGCACCGAAGCUGCGGCAGCGAACGUAUCACCCAAGACAACUUUACGGAGUUGACGAUUGACGGAGCGAAGCGACGUCAAAGCGUUCAUUAAAGUCGAGUUGGCUUAGGGAUACGUUCGUUGGGUAGGGGAGCGUUCUGUAAGCCUGUGAAGGUGUGUCGUGAGGCAUGCUGGAGGUAUCAGAAGUGCGAAUGCUGACAUAAGUA